This 330-nucleotide ribosomal RNA is filed under the name uncultured eukaryote. RNAcentral's name for it is "partial 18S ribosomal RNA". It matches the Rfam family "Eukaryotic small subunit ribosomal RNA", at positions 1470 to 1796 of the family's 1831-position model. The record is from RNAcentral.
CCCUUAGAUGUUCUGGGCCGCACGCGCGCUACACUGAUGCAUUCAACGAGCCUAUCCUUGACCGACAGGUCCGGGUAAUCUUUGAAUCUGCAUCGUGACGGGGAUAGAUUAUUGCAAUUAUUAAUCUUCAACGAGGAAUGCCUAGUAGGCGCAAGUCAUCAGCUUGUGUUGAUUACGUCCCUGCCCUUUGUACACACCGCCCGUCGCUACUACCGAUUGAAUGGUUUAGUGAGACCCUCGGAUUCGUCCCAGCACAGUGGGUUUCUGCUGAGCUGGUGCGCGGAGAAGACGGUCGAACUUGAUCAUUUAGAGGAAGUAAAAGUCGUAACA